CCUACGGGCGGCAGCAGUGGGGAAUAUUGGACAAUGGGGGCAACCCUGAUCCAGCCAUGCCGCGUGUGUGAAGAAGGCCCUCGGGUUGUAAAGCACUUUCAGUGAGGAAGAACGCCUGGUGGUUAAUACCCAUCAGGAAAGACAGUACUCACAGAAGAAGCACCGGCUAACUCCGUGCCGGCAGCCGCGGUAAUACGGAGGGUGCGAGCGUUAAUCGGAAUUACUGGGCGUAAAGCGCGCGUAGGUGGCUUGAUAAGCCGGUUGUGAAAGCCCCGGGCUCAACCUGGGAACGGCAUCCGGAACUGUCAAGCUAGAGUGCAGGAGAGGAAGGUAGAAUUCGCGGUGUAGCGGUGAAAUGCGUAGAGAUCGGGAGGAAUACCAGUGGCGAAGGCGGCCUUCUGGACUGACACUGACACUGAGGUGCGAAAGCGUGGGUAGCAAACAGGAUUAGAUACCCUGGUAGUC
Molecule: ribosomal RNA, 465 nt
Filed under: Vreelandella stevensii
Lineage: Bacteria; Pseudomonadati; Pseudomonadota; Gammaproteobacteria; Oceanospirillales; Halomonadaceae
Description: partial 16S ribosomal RNA
Rfam family: Bacterial small subunit ribosomal RNA
Source: RNAcentral